Molecule: ribosomal RNA, 652 nt
Filed under: uncultured beta proteobacterium
Lineage: Bacteria; Pseudomonadati; Pseudomonadota; Betaproteobacteria
Description: bacterial SSU rRNA
Rfam family: Bacterial small subunit ribosomal RNA
Source: RNAcentral
UGNGCUGGCGGAAUGCUUUCACAUGCAANUCGAACGGCAGCACGGACUUCGGUCUGGUGGCGAGUGGCGAACGGGUGAGUAAUACAUCGGAACGUGCCCAGUCGUGGGGGAUAACGUAGCGAAAGCUACGCUAAUACCGCAUACGAUCUACGGAUGAAAGCGGGGGAUCGCAAGACCUCGCGCGAUUGGAGCGGCCGAUGGCAGAUUAGGUAGUUGGUGGGGUAAAGGCUCACCAAGCCGACGAUCUGUAGCUGGUCUGAGAGGAUGAUCAGCCACACUGGGACUGAGACACGGCCCAGACUCCUACGGGAGGCAGCAGUGGGGAAUUUUGGACAAUGGGCGCAAGCCUGAUCCAGCCAUUCCGCGUGCAGGAUGAAGGCCUUCGGGUUGUAAACUGCUUUUGUACGGAACGAAAAGGCUCUGGUUAAUACCCGGGGCUCAUGACGGUACCGUAAGAAUAAGCACCGGCUAACUACGUGCCAGCAGCCGCGGUAAUACGUAGGGUGCAAGCGUUAAUCGGAAUUACUGGGCGUAAAGCGUGCGCAGGCGGUGAUGUAAGACAGAGGUGAAAUCCCCGGGCUCAACCUGGGAACUGCCUUUGUGACUGCAUCGCUGGAGUACGGCAGAGGGGGAUGGAAUUCCGCGUGUANCA